GCCGGGAGCUAGCUCUCUGCAACUCUCACAUGGUCACCCGCUGAAGCAAAGCAGGGCUGUGCCGGGUCAGUUCCUAGAUGGGAGACUACAUGGAAAAGCUAGGUUGCUGCCGGAA
RNAcentral lists this ribosomal RNA (115 nucleotides) under Danio rerio (zebrafish). The record is from RNAcentral. Lineage: Eukaryota; Metazoa; Chordata; Actinopteri; Cypriniformes; Danionidae.